This 1869-nucleotide long non-coding RNA is filed under the name Betta splendens (Siamese fighting fish). Its description in RNAcentral is "lncRNA (ENSBSLG00000003645.1)". The record is from RNAcentral. Lineage: Eukaryota; Metazoa; Chordata; Actinopteri; Anabantiformes; Osphronemidae.
UUCCUGUAGAGAUAGGUCACGCCGUCUCCGUCUCACAGCCUCGGCCCCGCUCUUUAACCCCAGUCGACAGUCUGCAGCUCCCGUCCUCCCUCCUCACCGCUGCUGGAUUCAGCCUGAUUGAUGAGUCCUAAUGAGUUUGGGGAGCUUAAACAUGGCUGGAACCUCUCUGGGAGCGCUAUUCUCUCUCCUGUUCCUUGCAUCUAUUACACAAGGGUACAAGGCUGUUGAUCUGUUUUGUUAUGAAUCCUGGCCAGCAGACGUGGGCCAGGAUGUCGCUCUGCCCUGUAGUAUAAAACAGAGAGAUGAUUUCAAGAUCGACAGCAUUCAAUGGACAAAGAAAAUGGGGAAAAAUGAGAAUAAGCUUGCAGUCUAUAGUCCAAUGCAUGGUCUUCAUCAGUUUAUGACUAAUGUGACGAUAGAGACUAUGGAGGACGAUGCAAACAGCUGGCUUGGCUUCCCCGUACGCCUCUCUGCUGUGACUGUAUGGGACAGUGGCGUCUAUAUCUGUGGUAUUACAACGUUUCCUCACGGCCCUCUGAGAUGUGAAACGGAGCUGAAAAUCAAAGACAUUGAUAAAAUCACAUGUGAUGUGAAUGGUACUGUUGAGGCCCUAAGUGGAGAGAAUGUGACCAUCCGCUGUGCAGCCAUUCCUAACAUUCAGUACAGAUGGACCAAGAACCAGAACUUGGUUUCAGACACGGAAUCACUGAAUCUCUGGCAAGUGACUGAAGCCGACACAGGGACUUACACGCUGACUGUCAACACAGGAAGCAAAUAUCUGCACGAGGAGUUUAAUAUCACUGUGCUGACAGUGAGCUUAACAACAGAUCUGUCAACGCGUUCGGUCGUUACCACACAGGCUCCCACCGACUCAACAGUCAGCAGCCUCGGCACCACUUUCCAGCCAUCGUCAACCACUGGACUACAAACCACUGGACCACAAACUACUGGACUGCAAACUACUGGACUGCAAACCACUGGGCUGCAAACCAAUAGCACCAGUGUAACGUGGACCAGGAGCUUGACCUCUGAUGUGACCGACGCUUCCACCAAAGUCAGCAAUGCUACAAAUCCACCUGACGAGCAUAAAACCCCGUUUACAAACAACACCCACUUCAUCACCGCCACCGCAAAUCCACCACUCAACUCUACAUUAAGGUCCAGCAGUGCAGCGUUCAACCGAACACACGCAACGACCAGCGGCGGGAUGCUAAAUGCGUCUGCGACUCAGCCAAACAAUGUUACCGCGAAUGCGCCAGAGGAGUCCAGCAUCACGGACAAUCCUGCAGCAGAACACACCACUAAACCAAGAGUAGAAGGUAAUGAGCGGAGUCAUCUUCUGGUGUUAAUAAUGGUUCCAUUGCUGCUAUUGAUCGCUGUGGUCGCCUUUCUCAUCAGGAGACGCGUAAUAAAACAGAGGAUGGACCUGCCGCCUUCAUUCAAACCCCCUCCUCCUCCAGUCAAGUAUGCAGCUGCAGUCUACCAACGGCGUGAGAUUUCUGCUACCUCUUACCCCGUUUCAAGGUGUAACUCGCUAGCAGAGUGCAUAUGAUAUAUAUAUUUAUAUUUAUAUAUGGUGGUUUGCAUGAUAUAUUGCACAGCAGUGUAUCCGGCCUCAAGUACAGAAGUACAAAAUGUGAAGCUCACAUAUAACUGUGGUCAGUUUCUGGUACAGUUACAGUAGCUAAAUGUAGGUUGUGUGUAUAUACUGUACGUGAGCUGUGGUACAUGCUAUUGUCUCUUAGAUGUUUCGAUUGUUUUGGCCGUAUUGGUCACAGUGAAAAUGACGUUGAUUGUAUUAAAUGGAAUAACGAAAAGUUUGUGUCACCUGAAAAUAAACUUUGUAAACUUUACGGUGAACUGUGAUUU